Sarcophilus harrisii (Tasmanian devil) is the source of this 1703-nucleotide long non-coding RNA. Lineage: Eukaryota; Metazoa; Chordata; Mammalia; Dasyuromorphia; Dasyuridae. The record is from Ensembl.
CUGUGAGGAAAUUGGUAUUUUUAUUCUCAUUUUAUAGAAGAGAAAAAUGAGGCUUGAAUGAAUUAAAGUGUUUAAUAAAUGCUUGUUGCCUGUCAAACACUGAACUGUAUGGAGGCUAACACAAAUACAAAAAGUAAAUACAGACCUUGCCCUCAAGGAUUUUAGAUUCUAAUGUUGUUCAGUCAUUUCAUGACCUCAUAGGGGGUUUUCUUACCAAAGAUACAGGAGGGGUUUGUCAUUUCCUUCUCCAAUUCAUUUUAUAGAUGAGGAUAUUGAGUCCAUCAGGACUACAUGACCUGCCCAGGAUCAUACAGCCAGUAAAUGUCUGAAGUUGUAUUUGAAUCCAAGUGUUGGUGACUCCAGUGCCAGUGCUCUAUCCACUGUGCCACCCAGGUGCACACCCAUUCUAAUGGGGGAAACAAAAAGAAACCAACCAAUAGGAAUAAAGUAUAGCCGGACAAAGAUGGUAACAACAGCAACAGCAGCAGCUGAUGGAACUUUCACUGUCUCCUUACAUCCAGAGAAACAAGACGUGAUGAAUAGAAUGAACAGAGAGUGAGUCUGCCCAUCUCGACACAUACUGGCUGUGUGAUCUUCUGUCAGUCACUCAAUAAACAUAAAAUGCCUACUGUGUGCAAGACAUGAUGCUAAGUACUAGGUUUACAAAAAUGGUCAAGGGACAGAGCGAGCCCUCAAGGAAUUCACAAUCUGAUGGGGGAGACAACAGACAAAUAUCUCCAGAUUUAUAUAGGAAAAACUACUGCAGGAAAUAAUUAAAGGAGGAAACUCACUAGAAUGAAGAGGGAUUAGGAAAGGAUUUCCCCUAUAGAUAAGAUUUUAGGUGGGAUUUAAAGGAAGUUAGAGAAGCCUGGGCUUUCCAGUCGGCAAGGAUGAAGAAGGAGAACAUUUAAGGUAAAGGGGACAGCCAGAGAAAAUUACUGGAACCAAGAGAUAGCAAAUCUUGUUUGUGGGAUAAGCAGGAGGCCACUGUCACUGGAGUGAAGAGCACCUACUGGAGAAUAAGAUUUUAAAAAACUGGAAAGGUGGAAGGGGACUAUGAAGGCCUUUUAAUGCCAGACAGAGCACUUUGUAUUUGAUCUUGGAGAUGAUAGGAAGCCAUUUUAGAGUAUUAAGUAAGGAGAUGGUUGGACCCGUCCUUCAGGAAAAUCACUUUGGUGAUGAAUGGAGGAUGGAUUGGAGUGGGGAGAGACUUGAGGCAGGCAGAGCCUCUAGUAGACUUUUGAAAUAAUGCAGAUGUGAGGUGCUAAAGAUCUACACUAAGGUGAAGGCAGUGUUAGGGGAGAGAUGGGGGAAAGGUGAAAUUGAUAGACUUUGGCUUUGGGCUAGAUAUUGGGGAUGGGAAAGUGAGCAGUGCAGGAUGACUUCUGGGUUGUGAGAGACUCCAAAGAAAUGGUAUUGUUAUUUGGAACAGCGAGGUGGUGCAGUGGAUAGAGCACCAGUCCUGCAGGUAGGAGGACCUGAGUUCAUAUCUGGCUUAAACAUUGGACACUCCCUAGCUAUAUGAUUCUGAACAAGUCAUUUAAUCCUGAUUGUCUCACCAAAAAAAUAGUAAAUCCAUCUCUGCAUGUGAAAUGGAUUAAGGAGAAAGUGUCAGAAGACCUAUAUGUGACAUGAAUACAGGAAGAGGGCAUAAGGGGAGUUUAUUAUGAAUGAUAACAAUUUUUUUUUCAGUCCAACAUAAA